Molecule: ribosomal RNA, 503 nt
Filed under: uncultured bacterium
Lineage: Bacteria
Description: partial 16S ribosomal RNA
Rfam family: Bacterial small subunit ribosomal RNA
Source: RNAcentral
AUUGAACGCCGGCGGCAGGCUUAACACAUGCAAGUCGAGCGGGGUGAUGGUGCUUGCACUAUCACUUAGCGGCGGACGGGUGAGUAAUGCUUAGGAAUCUGCCUAUUAGUGGGGGACAACAUCUCGAAAGGGAUGCCAAUACCGCAUACGUCCUACGGGAGAAGGCAGGGGAUCACUUGUGACCUUGCGCUAAUAGAUGAGCCUAAGUCGGAUUAGCUAGUUGGUGGAGUAAAGGCCUACCAAGGCGACGAUCUGUAGCGGGUCUGAGAGGAUGAUCCGCCACACUGGGACUGAGACACGGCCCAGACUCCUACGGGAGGCAGCAGUGGGGAAUAUUGGACAAUGGGGGGAACCCUGAUCCAGCCAUGCCGCGUGUGUGAAGAAGGCCUUAUGGUUGUAAAGCACUUUAAGCGAGGAGGAGGCUCUUUUGGUUAAUACCCAAGAUGAGUGGACGUUACUCGCAGAAUAAGCACCGGCUAACUCUGUGCCAGCAGCCGCCGUAA